GACCGGAUAGCUCAGCUCAGCGGUAGAGCAUCUGGGUGCAAACUAGAAGGUCCUGGGUUCAAUCUCCAGUCUGGUCG
RNAcentral lists this transfer RNA (77 nucleotides) under Ganoderma leucocontextum. RNAcentral describes it as "tRNA-Cys". It matches the Rfam family "tRNA". From Rfam's summary of the family: Transfer RNA (tRNA) molecules are approximately 80 nucleotides in length. Their secondary structure includes four short double-helical elements and three loops (D, anti-codon, and T loops). Lineage: Eukaryota; Fungi; Basidiomycota; Agaricomycetes; Polyporales; Polyporaceae. The record is from RNAcentral.